GAUCAUGGCUCAGGAUGAACGCUGACAGAAUGCUUAACACAUGCAAGUCAACUUGAAUUUGGGUUUUUAACUUAGAUUUGGGUGGCGGACGGGUGAGUAACGCGUAAAGAACUUGCCUCACGGCUAGGGACAACAUUUAGAAAUGAAUGCUAAUACCUGAUAUUAUGAUUUUAAGGCAUCUUAGAAUUAUGAAAGCUAUAAGCACUGUGAGAGAGCUUUGCGUCCCAUUAG
Molecule: ribosomal RNA, 231 nt
Filed under: uncultured bacterium
Lineage: Bacteria
Description: partial 16S ribosomal RNA
Rfam family: Bacterial small subunit ribosomal RNA
Source: RNAcentral